This is a long non-coding RNA of Entelurus aequoreus (snake pipefish), 455 nucleotides long. RefSeq lists it as uncharacterized. The transcript is spliced from 3 exons. NCBI's taxonomy places the organism in Eukaryota, Metazoa, Chordata, Actinopteri, Syngnathiformes, Syngnathidae. The record is from RefSeq and is a predicted model, not a curated record.
CAAGAUGGCUGCCAGGUGCGGUGGCUAAGUCUGGGCACAUCUGAAGCCGGUGCCGACCAUCAGGGCCGAGUUGCGACGAGAGAGUGUUAUUAAGCCGAGUUGGUCUCUCCACCUCCGUGUCGGGGUCCAACAAGAAGUGUCCCUGGAAGAGAGUCCCGGUCUGGGUGUCGAUGGUGACCACAGGGAAGCCCAUCUGGAGGAUCCAGCGAUUCAUGAUGGCCUCCACUGAGUGAGGCAGAGUCAGGCCGGCUUUCUCUACCGCCUCGUUACAAGACCAGAAGGGAAAUAUUCACAUUAUUAAUAUUAUUAUACGACACAAUCGUUAGCAUUCUAAUAUUAGCAGUCUGUGGAACGCUCUCCCUGACCACCUGAGGGAACCACAGACUGUGGAUGCCUUUAAAAAAGGCUUAAAAACCCUUAUUUUGGAAAAGCCUUUUUUUUAGAUAUAUGCAUGU